GCGAACGCUGGCGGCAGGCCUAACGCCUGCCAGUCGAACGAACUCUUCGGAGUUAGUGGCGGACGGGUGAGUAACACGUGGGAACGUGCCUUUUGGUUCGGAAUAACUCAGGGAAACUUGUGCUAAUACCGAAUGUGCCCUUCGGGGGAAAGAUUUAUCGCCAUUAGAGCGGCCCGCGUCUGAUUAGCUAGUUGGUGAGGUAACGGCUCACCAAGGCGACGAUCAGUAGCUGGUCUGAGAGGAUGACCAGCCACACUGGGACUGAGACACGGCCCAGACUCCUACGGGAGGCAGCAGUGGGGAAUCUUGCGCAAUGGGCGAAAGCCUGACGCAGCCAUGCCGCGUGAAUGAUGAAGGUCUUAGGAUUGUAAAAUUCUUUCACCGGGGACGAUAAUGACGGUACCCGGAGAAGAAGCCCCGGCUAACUUCGU
RNAcentral lists this ribosomal RNA (431 nucleotides) under uncultured bacterium. Its description in RNAcentral is "partial 16S ribosomal RNA". It matches the Rfam family "Bacterial small subunit ribosomal RNA", at positions 29 to 506 of the family's 1533-position model. The record is from RNAcentral.